Molecule: long non-coding RNA, 363 nt
Filed under: Homo sapiens (human)
Lineage: Eukaryota; Metazoa; Chordata; Mammalia; Primates; Hominidae
Description: HSALNT0318986
Source: RNAcentral
UCUCCUGACCUCGUGAUCCGCCCUCCUCGGCCUCCCAAAGUACUGGGAUUACAGGAGUGAGUCACCACGCCCGGCCGGAUUAUGGAUUUUUAAGAGGAAAACCACAGAGGAAGCCAAGCCACACUGCUAACUGAUGAGAGACCAGCUUGAAAGAGGGAGGACCUGCCAAUUGCCAUCAGCACAACUCCAGAUAUAUGGGAGUCAGGUGAUCAUAAACCAUCCAUUUUCUGCUGAGUCACAGUAGACUGCAACUCCAUGAAUGAGACAAGGAGGUGUCGGUAAAAACAAAACAAAACAAAACAAAGCAAAAACUGCCUGGUGUAACCACAGAAUCUUAAGAAAUAAUAAAUGAUUUUAAUCCAA